GCCUGGGGAGUACGGCCGCAAGGUUAAAACUCAAAUGAAUUGACGGGGGCCCGCACAAGCGGUGGAGCAUGUGGUUUAAUUCGAUGCAACGCGAAGAACCUUACCUACUCUUGACAUCCAGAGAAUUUAGCAGAGAUGCUGAAGUGCCUUCGGGAACUCUGAGACAGGUGCUGCAUGGCUGUCGUCAGCUCGUGUUGUGAAAUGUUGGGUUAAGUCCCGCAACGAGCGCAACCCUUAUCCUUUGUUGCCAGCGAUUCGGUCGGGAACUC
RNAcentral lists this ribosomal RNA (269 nucleotides) under Providencia stuartii. Its description in RNAcentral is "partial 16S ribosomal RNA". It matches the Rfam family "Bacterial small subunit ribosomal RNA", at positions 871 to 1140 of the family's 1533-position model. Lineage: Bacteria; Pseudomonadati; Pseudomonadota; Gammaproteobacteria; Enterobacterales; Morganellaceae. The record is from RNAcentral.